Long non-coding RNA from Anopheles merus, 340 nucleotides. RefSeq lists it as uncharacterized. Lineage: Eukaryota; Metazoa; Arthropoda; Insecta; Diptera; Culicidae. The record is from RefSeq and is a predicted model, not a curated record. The transcript is spliced from 2 exons.
AACGGCAGCCUUGUUGAUGUGGGAGUACGCGAAACAACACCACGCUGCCGCUAUGUAGGGUUGAUCCAUAGCAUCGGGGUAGUAUCCGGGCGCAGUUGGAAGUUGGAAAGGGAAAAAACCAGGAGCUUUCAAUUAGUGGCGCUUUGAAUGCUGCGAAACAUAUUUUCAAUUGAAAUCGAGAUAUCGUUCCCCCUGUCCCUGUCCGGACAAGCCUCCGAAACGACAAGAGAGCGAGAAUGCAAAUGAGGCAUCCGCAGCAGCCGCCGUUAUCUCCGGUUGCGCUGCGUUCCAGUCUAAAACAUUGUUGUUCCCAUGCGACAAACAAACAGCAUGAGUAUUA